RNAcentral lists this small nucleolar RNA (103 nucleotides) under Solanum tuberosum (potato). Lineage: Eukaryota; Viridiplantae; Streptophyta; Magnoliopsida; Solanales; Solanaceae. The record is from RNAcentral.
GGCGAUUGCAAUGACGCUGACAUUAAUCCCAGCUCUAUGAGGCCUUAUAUUUAAGGUCUUGGAUUAAACUUUGUUUCCAACACAUAUAUAUCUGAGCUUCGCC